GACAAGUAAAUAACUUUUCCUUAUUCACUUUCUCCACAUCACUCAUGACUCGGGUGCCCUCUGACUGGCUGUGUCUGGAUGUGCACAGCUGGCAGAGGGGCGGCUGGAGGCCGGGUACCAGGCGGCGCAGGAGCUGGUGCAGAGUCAGGCGCGUGGCACGCUGCAGGCCAGGCACCGGGCGGAGCGGCUGCGUGAUGAGGCCAAGGCCCUCCUGCGGGAUGCUCAGGGCAAGCUGCAGCGCCUGACAGCGCUGGAGGGGUCGUACCAGGAGAACGAGCGGGUGCUGGAGGAGAAGGCAGCCCAGCUAGACGGGCUGGAGGCCAAGGUGAAGGGCAUCGUGGGUGCCAUCAACCAGCAGAUCCAGAUCUACAACACCUGCCAGUGACUCCGAGUGCCCACCGGCCUGUCCCCCCCGUCCUCCGACCCAGCCAGCCUGUCCCCAUGCCCAGCCCCCUCUCCAUGUCUGCCAGGGCCUGGGCUUCCCUGCCUGGCUCCGGCCCCCCUGGGAGAGCCCUGCCCCCUCGGCACCGUCACUGCUGGGGCUGUGCUCAGGACUCCCUCCUGCACAGCCUCGGGGCGUCCUGGGCCCCUGCCCUGGCCUGGCACGGUGCCCUUCCCACAGCCCAGGGCUCUGCCGCUGCCUCCAGCCGGGGGCACCAGGACCUUGGCCCAGCGCUAGGCUGGGGGGCUGAGGAGGACUCGCACCCUCCACAGCGGGCAGGGCACAGGGUCCGCGAGACGAGGUCUUGCAGCCUGUGGUGCUUUGCCCUGGCACAUGGCGGGGGCAGCUUGCGUGUGAAUAAAGCCCUCGCCUGGCA
Molecule: long non-coding RNA, 818 nt
Organism: Terrapene triunguis (Three-toed box turtle)
Lineage: Eukaryota; Metazoa; Chordata; Testudines; Emydidae
Exons: 2
Source: RefSeq, a predicted model, not a curated record